CAAUUUUUUCCUGAUUCAUUUAGAAGUAAAUUUGUGUCAGGUUAGAAAACAAAAUAAAACACUUUUCAUGUGUUCAACUGAGAACAUGUGGAAAUAUCAAUGUUUAGCAAGAGCUUAAAUCACAAGCAGGCCUCUCUCUUGGGAAAGGAACUCCAAAAAAAUGAGAUCUCAGAGAGCAGAGAUAAGCUUUGGUAGGGAUAAAUUCAUGCCGAAGGGUAAGUUUGCCGGGUGAGUCCUCUUUCCAGAGAAAUCGGAGAGACAUUUGGAAGAUACUUGUUAGAAUUAGGUCGUGGAAGAAAAAGGCAAAGCAUAUAUACGCCUAGAUUUCGAAAACAAAGAAGAGAUUUCUCAUGAAAGAGGGGAAAUAAGACACAAAGAGUAGAGCUGCUAUCAAAGGAAACAGACUGUAUACAUUGUCCCUUUGUUCUUAAGAGCCAAAACCUAAACGUCAAUCAUGUGUGUCCUUCUGGGGGACUGGCCAGAGGGGGAAAGGAUUCUUGCUUCACACUGCAGCAGGUGAUUUUCCUGAAAUUCCAAAUAAAGAGAACGAUGGUGCUUUUACAAGGGACCAAAACGAAAUUUAAAUUCCACUUAUUUCAUGGGCUUGGGAAAUGAUAUGAAGACUUUUAAAUAAGAUAUGGUUUGAGCCACUUAGGUUUAUGGAGACUUAUCCAAGUCGAAGCCCGCCGCAUUCAAAAUGAUGACAAAACGACCAAGAGCAGUUCAUCCGUAGGCUGAGUGAGUCACACUUUCUCAUCACAGAAGCUACUACGUGGGAGUCCAUCAGGCAUUUGGGGAAAUUAUACCUACCGCCUACCUUAAGAUUUAAUAAUGAAAUGAACUAAUUUCUGUUUUUUUUUUUUAAAUAUGCAUCAGAUAGGUGCAAUUUUGGUAUAAUCUCCCAAAGGAUUGUAAGGAUCUAUUUAAUCUCAUAUUAAAGGGGGGGGGUCUCUAAUUAGCUAGGAUAUAUUUUCCAUGAUUGACUCCUUAAUUGUCACAAAAUAUUACUAAAUCAAACCAACCUCACAAAACAAGAUUGAUUUUACCAAGCCUUGAAAAAAAAACCCACAGGCUUGCAAUCAUAUCCUUAACCACUAAAACUCCCAUACACAUCAAAUAGCCAAUGCCUGCAGAAAAUAAUACCUAUAGGUGGUUUGGUUGGUUUUUUAGAAUGAAUUCACUUUUUUUUUUUUUGAGUAUCAGAAUUAAAUAUUAUGGAACUUUGAGCUUACAGGACAAUGGGUUCAAGCCAGAGGUAGAGUAAUGAAGUCAGAUCCUUGUGCCUAACUGGGUUUCUCUAUUUCCAUAGAUUUGCAUCUAUCCAGGGUAAUUUGUAUAGAUAUUCCUGGAUUUUUGAAAUAAAUAACAAAAGAUAAAGAUACAGGAAAUGAGGGCUUAAAAUGCUACCAUAGUCUACAACCAUUAGCUAUACAACUGAAUUAGAAAGCCAUGAAAUAAAAAUUCUGGGUAUAUUAUAUUCAUAAUAACCGAGAAAAUGUUGAUUAAAAUGUCCUUUCAUUUUUCUUUUCUUUUUAAAUAUAAAUAUUUCCAAAAACUCGAGUUGCAUUUCCCCCCAUGCCUCUUUUCUUUAUUUGCAGUCCCAGUUGAUCUGCCCUGGAUAUUUUUAGAUCAUUAAAAAAAAAAAAAAUGAGAGAGAAAAUUUAAAGUGCUCGGCAGGCAGAGAGCUCACACUGUGACGUCUUACUUCAUCCACUUCUCUACGUAAUUUUUAAGUUAGGUUCCCGCUGCUUUCAUAAGUGUCUCGACUUUAGAAUCCCUGCCAACACGGACAGCCUAUUGACAAGGAAAUAUAACAAGAACAUUUCUUUUUAAUUUACUUCCUAAUAACUGGAUUCCAUGUCGAGGCUCGGAAAAAAAAAAGAAAAAGAAAAAGAAAGAGAAUGUGGACAGAAACAGUGUCCAGCAGUGAAACGAAGUAAGGGGAGAAAAAACGAUUUCUGGUGGUUCUAUGCUUUCUUUCGUUCUAUACGCCAAAGAUGUUGGGCAGGGAGAUAGGAAGACGGAAUUUGUCUCCACGUGUCCUUGGGAAAUUCCCCAACUUGUUUUCAUUAUGGUAAUAAUGAGGUUAUUUAUUUGCUCCGAAGGGGUGGGACAGAGAUUAUUAGUAUUCCCUGGAAGACACUGUAUACUUAUUACCCUAACAAUCUCUUCCCUGAUUUCCAAUGUCAAACAAAAACAAGAGGAAAACGGCAUUUUUUAUCCCCUGCUAUAUAGAAUACACUUCCAGUCCUUUCUAUUAAUCAAUCUGCAGUUGACAUGACAGCAAAUUAAAAGGAAGGUCAUUUGGGGAGCACACCCGCACACACUGAAGGGGGUUUCCCAUCUGCCAACACUUUGCGUUUCGCGGCUCAUUUAGUUGCAACUUGGGAGCGUAUACUCUAAGAAAUGCAGGGGUGCUAUCUCACAAGGGUUUAGCUUUUCCUUCACAAACUGAAGUGCACGUUCAAAAGGGGGGGGGGCGCACAAAGAGAAAGAUGUCUCAGAAAUCUUAUCUUGGAAGAGCCGGUGCCAUUCCGACGUGGGCAUGGGGCUCACUCUAGCACAGGCCGUCGUGAGAGGCUCCGGUGAGGACGUGGGGACUUUAGAUGGCCUGUGGCGCGGACCCUCAGCUGGCCCUGUGUCAGGAACCGGAGGAGAAAAUCCAGCUCCUUUUAUGGAGGAGGAAGGAACUGCAAGGUCACUUGCUCCUCUUUUCCUUUCACUUUGAUUUCUGUAAGGAGGGAGUGUGUGUGGCAGUCGUGACCAAGUACGGCAGUCCCAGUGCUACCACACCACCUGUGUGUGACCUUGCAGGUCCCCAAGCCCCGAGGCCAGGAGGGUGGAGCUGGGUUCUCUGCCGCGGGUCUCUCUGGAGGGUGAAAUCCAGGGUCAGCCGGCUGUGCUCCACCUGGAGCUCCCCGCCUCCUGCAGUCCUCCAGGUCACCGGCAGAGGUCGGUACCUGGAGACUGCCGGACUGAGAGACCCUGCGUCCCUGCUGGCUGUCAGCAGGUGCCGCUCCCAGGUCUUGAGACCGCCUCCCAUUCUUUACUGGGAAGCCCUCUAGUAACGCGACAGCAGGUGAAUUCCACCCUCCUGCCAAACUUCCACCAAGUCUCCCUCUCUCUUUGCAUCGCUCUGACCUCCUCCACCAGCCUGAAAACCUGUGCGUGUCAAGGGCUUGCCCGGCUGGGCUGUGCCCACUGGAAUCCUCUCCAUAGCUAAUUACAUCCCAACAAUCCCUUCCCAACGGCCCCUAGGUUAGUGUUUGAUUCAAUAGCUACAGGAUGAGAAUCUUGGAAGCCGUAUCUAGAACCACAGGUUAGGGCCCCCCGGGGGCCAAAGUUCACUUUCUGGCUGAUCAUUUCACCGUCUCUCUGUGCUCCUCCCCUUUGACCUUUGGUUCCAAAGAAACAUGAUUUCCUCUCUCUUCUCAUCCUGAAAAAAGUGUGCAUAGUCUUAAAGUUUGUUUUUCUUUAGGUGGGGGAGAGGAAGAACACGAUAAACUGCAUAUAGAAAAACCCAGUACAACUCUUCUAAUAAAGACCGUUGUUGGUAUUUCUUUGUAUAUAAAUACAAACUUAAGUAAAUGUA
Herpailurus yagouaroundi (jaguarundi) is the source of this 3592-nucleotide long non-coding RNA. RefSeq lists it as uncharacterized. The record is from RefSeq and is a predicted model, not a curated record. NCBI's taxonomy places the organism in Eukaryota, Metazoa, Chordata, Mammalia, Carnivora, Felidae. The transcript is spliced from 2 exons.